Molecule: ribosomal RNA, 253 nt
Filed under: uncultured prokaryote
Description: partial 16S ribosomal RNA
Rfam family: Bacterial small subunit ribosomal RNA
Source: RNAcentral
ACGUAGGGGGCAAGCGUUGUUCGGAAUUACUGGGCGUAAAGGGCGCGUAGGCGGCACGGCAAGUCGGGAGUGAAAGCCCGGGGCUCAACCCCGGAGGGUCUUCCGAAACUGCCGGGCUAGAGUGCGGAAGAGGCAACCGGAAUUCCCAGUGUAGCGGUGAAAUGCGUAGAUAUUGGGAAGAACACCGGAGGCGAAGGCGGGUUGCUGGGCCGACACUGACGCUGAGGCGCGAAAGCCAGGGGAGCAAACGGGA